Molecule: long non-coding RNA, 1611 nt
Organism: Chlorocebus sabaeus (green monkey)
Lineage: Eukaryota; Metazoa; Chordata; Mammalia; Primates; Cercopithecidae
Source: RefSeq, a predicted model, not a curated record
GAGCGUCGCGGCGGCGUGUAGCUGUGGCGGAAAAGGUCAAGGAUGGGAGGGGAGCGGGCGAGGCGGCCGAGCCGAGCGACGCUGGGGAGGAGGAGGGUCGUGCGGGCGGAGGGCUCCCAGGGCUGAGGGCGGCCCGGACGAGCUGACAGUGCCUGAUCCCCCGGCAAGGAAGCCUCAGGUGCGGGCGCCGGGAGGGCCGGAGCCGCGGACUUUCUAGGAAAGGGAACCCCGCUGCUGCCGAAACCCCAGCCGAGCGGACCGGCUUCCCAGAAGUCAUAUAGGACUUUGUUACAGGAAAGAAGAAAGGGGAAAGAAGAAAAGGAAACAAUCAGACAAAUCCAGAAUGUGGAAUAUCCUAUUGGACAACUGACUGUUUCUUCCAGUUAAAGGGUGCGACCGAGGAACAACAGCGCCGACCACCCAUCCUUCUCGAUCCCUGGGGAAAUUAACUUUUUUUUGGAUGGGAGAGUCAGUAGACGAGGCUUCAUUUUCCAUCAGGGAACACGAACUGCUGCGGGAAGAUCCCAGCUUCUGGCUAAAGCUGCAGCGGUAGGAGCCGCCGACCAGCUCGCCAUCCAGUCCCCAGAGCCCGGGCUUUAGGCAAAGCGGAGAGACGCAAACCAGUUUUGCCGCCAAGGACCCGGCCAGGUGCGUCUCCUCCCGGGACUCGCAAGGAACAGGUUAGCGAGACGACUUCCAGCUUUCUCUGCCCGGCCCCAAACGCCUGCCGCCCCUGCCCGGCCGCCCGCUCUCUGGCGGCCUCUGCAAGUCUCCAGGCAGAAGCGGCUCCGCGCUGCCAGCGCUGGCGCCCCGCGAAGCCCCGCGGCCAAAUGACAGGACUUGAGGGCAAAGGAGGACAAAAGUUCCCACCAGGUGGGCACUGCGGGAAGGAGGCCGACGACCCCGAGAUUCUCCGGCGACCCCAGCGGGCCACCCCGGGGCGGUGAGGGGUCCCGAGGCAAGUGCGCGGCGGCGCCGGCGGCUUCCCCCGCGGCCUGGGAAGGUCACGCCGCCCGGACGCCGAGGCCCGCCCCGCGACCCGCUCCCUCCGCCCCGCGCGCUUCCCACAGCUGGAGGCGCCGGGCCGGGCUGCGCCCUCUGCAGCGCCAGCGUGGCCACGUCCCGCUCAGGCUCCGCCGCCUGCUCGUGGCUCCGGGGCGGCCACUGUUAACACCCACGUCGGCCGCGGCCGGCCCUCCGCGCAGGCAGCCCCGGCGGCGGCCCCGCGAAGCUCAGGGGCGCCCCUGCGACCGGGGAGCGGGCUGCACAGUGCCGCGCCCGGGCUGGGUCCUGGAGCCGCCGCCGCCCGCACGGGAAGCGGAAGUGGGCGCUGAGCCGCGGCGCGCCCAGCCCAACCCAGCCCGCGAGCUGGCGUGGCGCUGCCGCCGACCCUAGCAAAGCUGGAGGGCAGGGCCUGCGCGCCUGGGGACUUGCCCUCCUCUGGGCUCCGCAAGACCGUGUCUGAGCUCGGACCUUAGUUAGCCGCCUGGGCUGAGGAUGAGGGCUGGGGACUGGGAAUGUCAGUGGUUGGGAGGACUUAAGUUUCUAGCUAGUUUGACCUUGUUGGGAGGCUAAGGCCUUAUUUAUAAAUUUUAUUUGGGUACAAAAUUA